AGAACGAACGCUGGCGGCAUGCCUAAUACAUGCAAGUCGAACGAACUCUUCGGAGUUAGUGGCGCACGGGUGCGUAACGCGUGGGAAUCUGCCCCUUGGUUCGGAAUAACAGUUGGAAACGACUGCUAAUACCGGAUGAUGACGAAAGUCCAAAGAUUUAUCGCCAAGGGAUGAGCCCGCGUAGGAUUAGCUAGUUGGUGAGGUAAAGGCUCACCAAGGCAACGAUCCUUAGCUGGUCUGAGAGGAUGAUCAGCCACACUGGGACUGAGACACGGCCCAGACUCCUACGGGAGGCAGCAGUAGGGAAUAUGGACAAUGGGCGAAAGCCUGAUCCAGCAAUGACCGCGUGAGUGAUGAAGGCCUUAGGGUUAGUAAAGUCUCGUUUACCCGAGAUGAUAAUGACAGUUAGUCGGAGAAGUAAGCCCGACUAACGUCCGUCGACCAGCAGCCGUAC
Molecule: ribosomal RNA, 454 nt
Filed under: uncultured soil bacterium
Lineage: Bacteria
Description: bacterial SSU rRNA
Rfam family: Bacterial small subunit ribosomal RNA
Source: RNAcentral